CAUUGAUUAUAAUCAUAUAGUCAAGCAAACAGUUUGGGAAACUUUUGUCAAGCACAUUAAUAUAGUUAUAUUCUCUGUCACAAAAAAUGUAGCCUCAUGUUAACUUUGUCCAGACUAAGUGUUGAGUUCUUUGUGUUUAGAGGCAUCAGGGACCGAUAAACGUUUAUUGUGGUCAGACCAGUCAGCAUUCCAGAUCGCUUUUGGGGGGUGAUGGAAAAAAUUAAGCCAUGUUCAAAAGACAAAAAGAACAAUUUGUGCUGUUCUCAGCAACAAAUUUAGCUCACAACAGUCUUUAAGUGGGUUAUGGGAGAGACAAGUGGUGCAUUUACACUUGUGCAGAAAAAUCCUGUAAGAUUUUAAGUGGACGUAUGCUGCCUUCAAGAUUCAUCGCCUUCACCUUGCAAAACCAAAUUCUGCUAAAGAAUGACUGAGGCUUGCAGUCUGAGCUGUACUGUUGCACAUGUUGUGAUGUUUGCAGGAAAAAUGGGACAAUAUAACACCUGAAACACUGCAUGACUCAAUGCCAGAACAUCGUCAGAUAUCAGAAAUAUUACAUUAUACUAGAGUUGAAUACUGAAAUACAAAGAAUCUUGAGACUCUUAUUAGAGCUCACUUGCUCGUCAGUUGAAAAGUGACUGUAUUUAGAGAUUCUGCAAACUACAUGUGCAAUAUUUAUGCAGUUUAAUAUGCCUUGAAUCACAAAAUGAAGUGGGCUCCAACAUUAUGUGAAUGCUUAAAGAAUUUGCUUUUAAUUGCUGCCUUCAAGCUGAUUUAAGAUGCAUUUUCGAAUUAAAAUAAGGCCCGCUGCUUUUCUAAUGGUUUUAACUUUGUGCUCGGCAUUCAGCUGUAAAAACAAACCAAAAUGAAAUAGCUGCAGACUCCCAAGUGGCAAAGUCUACAUGUUUAUGUUUUACUAUUAAGCCUUGUUUAAUUACGCAAGAAGUAAAUCAUGCAUGCUCCAAGUAAUUAAGCUCCUGGAAGGAUUUUUAAACCCUGGUUAAUGUCGUGGGUAAUAUCUGCAAGUAAUGAAGGGAUAUUAAUGUUUGUUUCUUUCUUUUUCACUGCUUCCUCAAAGGUGUCUUUACAUAAGCAGCUAACGCUACUCUCUACUUACAAAAGCACCGAUCUAUAAGAUAAUUUACACAUUGCUGCACAACUAACAAAUCACACUGGUAAUCUGAUUACUUGUCUAAUACUGAUCAUUAACACAAACGAGUGUUAAUCACCAGCCAAUCAGAAUGGAUUUUGAUCAGAGGAGUGGUGGCAGAAAGAUGGAGGAGCAGCUAUCCACCUGAGCUCACAGUUCAGCAAGCGCUACAUGGUUUCCAGACUAGGUAGCUAGUUUUUCUGGACUCUUGGCUGACACCAGAGAGGCUUUGCAGAUGGACAGAGGGGUGGACAGCAGCGCUUUUAGCAGCCGCCUUAAAGAUCGGCCAGCUGCUGAGGGGCUUUUAUUUUCAGAACUUGACCUACGAAAACACCACUAAAUGUUUGGAAUAUUUUAUCACGAUCGGUAGUUACUCAGAUCAGAGUUUCUCAAGCUCAAGGUGCAAAUUUACCUGUCUGAAACAUUUAUGUUUAAUCUAUAUUUUUCUUUAUAAAAGAAAAAAAAUUAUAAUUUCUGAAUAUUUAAUAUUUACUGCUGUUUUUAUGCUAUUUUUUAAAUAAUUAACCAGAUCAAUUAGGUCUUAGGAAAUGUAAUUUAUAUGAUUUUAGAAGUUUAUUGGUGUAUUUUUAUAUAACAAAAGGGUAUUUUUGAUAAUAGACCUGAAAAUGUAAGCUAAAUUUCACUGAAUAUUAAACUUAAUAAAAAUAGACGUGUAUUAAA
Molecule: long non-coding RNA, 1828 nt
Organism: Melanotaenia boesemani (Boeseman's rainbowfish)
Lineage: Eukaryota; Metazoa; Chordata; Actinopteri; Atheriniformes; Melanotaeniidae
Exons: 3
Source: RefSeq, a predicted model, not a curated record